UACGGAGGGGGCGAGCGUUAUUCAGAAUUAUUGGGCGUAAAGGGCGCGUAGGCGGCUGUACAAGUCAAAGGUGAAAUCCCUCGGCUCAACUGAGGAACUGCCUUUGAAACUGUACGGCUUGAGGCCGGGAGGGGGUAGCGGAAUUCCCAGUGUAGCGGUGAAAUGCGUAGAUACUGGGAGGAACACCAGUGGCGAAGGCGGCUACCUGGACCGGUUCUGACGCUGAGGCGCGAAAGCGUGGGUAGCAAACAGG
Molecule: ribosomal RNA, 253 nt
Filed under: uncultured bacterium
Lineage: Bacteria
Description: partial 16S ribosomal RNA
Rfam family: Bacterial small subunit ribosomal RNA
Source: RNAcentral